AUGAGCACUGUUGUAGCUGAAACUUCUGCUGAUCAACCUCAAGGAAUUGCUCCUUCAACGAGCGCUGCCGUAGCUGAAACUUCUGCUCAUCAAGUUCAAGGAAUUGCUCCUCCAAUGACCGCUGCUGUAGCUGAAGAUGACCAAGCUCCUGUCAAAAUACCAUGUGUUGUUCAAGCUCAAGUUGAAUCUUCCCAAUCCGAUGUGGCAGAACCAUUUGAAACUGAAGAUGUAGUGUUUGUUGAAGCUCAACCUGGGGAUGACCAAGUCGCCGCCCAAGAAUUCAGCAUCAUUGCAGAUGUAGAAGAUGUUGUUGCUGAUAGGGCCUACUGGGAUUUCACCCCACCAUCUUGCUCUCUUGGCCUAGAUUUUGGCCCCACACCACCCGGACCAGAUAUUAAUAUGACGACCGCAGUUCCAGCUGCAGUACCAACACCGCCCCCAGCGGUUGUUUCGACAACUCAAGCACCAGCAGUGGCCCCAACGGUUAACAAUGCUCCCCAAGACCGAGCAGCAGCACCCCCAAUUGAUCAUAUGGCGGCAGCACCACGAGAUUUAAAGAAUGCAGAAGAUAAUCCUAUUAACUCCAAUCCGUUUUCAGAAUCUGAGCCUGCUGACCUUGGUAAGUGA
This 627-nucleotide ribosomal RNA is filed under the name Triticum aestivum (bread wheat). RNAcentral describes it as "partial small subunit ribosomal RNA". The record is from RNAcentral. Lineage: Eukaryota; Viridiplantae; Streptophyta; Magnoliopsida; Poales; Poaceae.